GGGGGGGCAAGCGUUGUUCGGAAUUACUGGGCGUAAAGGGCGCGCAGGCGGCCCGGCAAGUCCUACGUGAAAUCCCACAGCUCAACUGUGGAACUGCGUGGGAUACUGCCAGGCUUGAGUCCGGGAGAGGAGAGUGGAAUUCCCAGUGUAGCGGUGAAAUGCGUAGAUAUUGGGAGGAACACCGGUGGCGAAGGCGGCUCUCUGGACCGGUACUGACGCUGAGGCGCGAAAGCUAGGGGAGCAAACGGGGAUUAGAUACCCCGGUAGUCCUAGCCGUAAACUUUGAGCACUUGGUGUGGCGGGUAUCGACCCCCUGCCGUGCCGAAGCUAACGCAUUAAGUGCUCCGCCUGGGGGAGUACGGUCGCAGGGCUG
This 373-nucleotide ribosomal RNA is filed under the name uncultured organism. Its description in RNAcentral is "partial 16S ribosomal RNA". It matches the Rfam family "Bacterial small subunit ribosomal RNA", at positions 528 to 896 of the family's 1533-position model. The record is from RNAcentral.